Thalassophryne amazonica is the source of this 145-nucleotide long non-coding RNA. RefSeq lists it as uncharacterized. The record is from RefSeq and is a predicted model, not a curated record. Lineage: Eukaryota; Metazoa; Chordata; Actinopteri; Batrachoidiformes; Batrachoididae. The transcript has 4 exons.
CAACUCAAAAUCAAACAAAGACUCAACAGAUGAGCAGAGUAUGAACCAAUUUCAGUAUGCCCGCAGAAGGAACAUGAGCUGAUAGAAAGGAGAGAAAACGUCCAUGACAAAGCAGAAACAGAACAGCAGAGUCCAUAAAUAUGCA